CACGUAGGCACCAAGCGUUAUCCGGAUUUAUUGGGCGUAAAGAGCUCGUAGGCGGUUCGGUAAGUCGGGUGUGAAAACUCUGGGCUCAACCCAGAGAGGCCACCCGAUACUGCUGUGACUAGAGUGCGGUAGGGGAGCGGGGAAUUCAUGGUGUAGCGGUGAAAUGCGCAGAUAUCAUGAGGAACACCAGUGGCGAAGGCGCCGCUCUGGGCCGUAACUGACGCUGAGGAGCGAAAGCAUGGGUAGCAAACAGG
Molecule: ribosomal RNA, 254 nt
Filed under: uncultured bacterium
Lineage: Bacteria
Description: partial 16S ribosomal RNA
Rfam family: Bacterial small subunit ribosomal RNA
Source: RNAcentral